RNAcentral lists this ribosomal RNA (264 nucleotides) under uncultured Paenibacillus sp. RNAcentral's name for it is "partial 16S ribosomal RNA". It matches the Rfam family "Bacterial small subunit ribosomal RNA", at positions 1120 to 1382 of the family's 1533-position model. Lineage: Bacteria; Bacillati; Bacillota; Bacilli; Caryophanales; Paenibacillaceae. The record is from RNAcentral.
AGCAUUCAGUUGGGCACUCUAAGGUGACUGCCGGCUAAAAGUCGGAGGAAGGUGGGGGAGUGACGUCAAAUCAUCAUGCCCCUUAUGACCUGGGCUACACACGUGCUACAAUGGGCGGUACAAAGGGUCGCGAACCCGCGAGGGGGAGCCAAUCCCAAAAAAGCCGCUCUCAGUUCGGAUUGCAGGCUGCAACUCGCCUGCAUGAAGCCGGAAUCGCUAGUAAUCGCGGAUCAGCAUGCCGCGGUGAAUACGUUCCCGGGCCUU